This 468-nucleotide ribosomal RNA is filed under the name uncultured bacterium. Its description in RNAcentral is "partial 16S ribosomal RNA". It matches the Rfam family "Bacterial small subunit ribosomal RNA", at positions 28 to 507 of the family's 1533-position model. The record is from RNAcentral.
GACGAACGCUGGCGGCGUGCCUAACACAUGCAAGUCGAACGGAAAGGCCCUGCUUUUGUGGGCUGCUCGAGUGGCGAACGGGUGAGUAACACGUGAGUAACCUGCACCUGACUUUGGGUUAACCUCAGGAAACUGGGGCUAAUACCGGAAAGGAGUUCCUGCUGCAUGGUGGGGGUUGGAAAGUUUCGGCGGUUGGGGAUGGACUCGCGGCCUAUUAGCUUGUUGGUGGGGUAGUGGCUUACCAAGGCUUGGACGCGUAGCCGGGCUGAGAGGGUAACCGGCCACAUUGGGACGGGGAUGCGGCACAGCCUCGUCCGGGAGGCAACGGUGGGGAGUGUUGCACUAGGGGCUGAAGGCUGGUGCAGUCACGCCGCGUGCGGGAUGACGGCCUUGGGGUUGUAUACCGCUUCCGCCUGUGCCGAAGCGUGAGUGACGGUACUGGGUAAAGAAGCCCCGGCUAACUACGUG